UAAAAAAAAUGUGUAUUAGUGAAUUCGUACAUACAUAACAGGUCAAAUCUCAGUCUGUAUACCAAAGUGUGCGAGUCUUUGUGUAUUUGUAACAUGCUUGUGUCGUGUGAAUUGUCUUAUUGUGAUUAAAAUCUGACUGAGGGAAGUAUACAUAAUUAUCUUUUUUUAUAUAUUUUUUGUGACCGAGUUAUACAUCAUUGGAAAAUUGUUGUACUUGGAGACAUAUAAACUGGUGUAUAUUUUGAAGUAUACAAGGAGUGGAAUAUAACAUUAUAGCAUACAUAUGUAUAAAUAAUGUGUGUAAUGUUAAAAUACACACCUCACACUCUACAUACUUCAAUAUUCUGUGUGAUGCGAUAGUGGUACUUGUGUUGAUCAUCAAGAAUAAUAUUAGUAGUAAUGAUUGAAGUUAUUCUACAAAAAAAAAUGUAUUUACAAAUUCGAAAGAAACAGAUAAGAACAAUAAUAGUAAUAAUAGCAAUAAUUAUUCAUCACACACAUUAUUAACAAAAAUUGUCUAGCUAUAUACAGAAUUGCUGCAAAAAAAAAAAAAAAAAAAAAAGGAUAUAUAAAAAUGUUACAAGGACACAUUUAAACACUAAAAUCAAUACAAAAUACUAAAGAGACACAUUUCAGCUUCAAGUGUACAGCUACAGUCAUCUACAUUGCAUCAGGAACCUAAACUAACCUACACACAUACGUACACACAGACGAAAAACAAAAACAAGAUCAGUAAUAAUAUCAAUAAUAAUACAUAAAGUUAGUAUUGCUCAAAAUAAAUACAUAAUACAAAAAUUAAAACAGUUUGCCAAUAGGUAGAUCUGAGUCAUAAGGAAUAUAUAUUUUUUUUUGUAUUUUUAUUUGCUAAAGUCUAGUGAAAAUAAAAAUCUUCACCUAAAAUAGUAUAGAUUAUUACUUCUUAUGAAAUCUAGUUGUACAAUUUCAGUUUAUUUAUUUUAUUUAUCUUUUUAUUUCAGAAGGGGAAGGUGAAAGAUGAUGAAGAAAAAGAGAGAGGAAGAUGAACAAAGAGGGAAGAAGAGGUGAAGGAGAAUAAGAAUGUAAAGAAAAAUGAUGAAUAAGUGAGAAAAUGAAGACUGAAAGAAUGGGAAGAAAACAAAGCAGAUAAGAAUUAGUAAGAGAAACAAGAUAAAUAAGGUAAAGGAAGAUGAAUAACAAAAGAAAAAAAGAAAUGAGGUAGAGAAAAGAAUAAGAAAUGGAGAACAAAGAAGAAACAAGACGAAGAUGACAAGAUGGAUAAAAAAGAGGAAGAAAGAAAUAGUGAGGUAGAAAAAAAGAAAGAAAAGGAGAACAAAGAAGAAAUGAGAGAAAGAUAACAAGAUGGGAAAAAAAAAAAGAGGAAAGCAAACAAGAGGAAAAAGAGGAAGAAGGUCCUCUUACUGACACAUGGAGAGUCUUCUUGGUGAACGAGGCUGACUGGCUGAGGUGGGCAGGUGGCAGUGGCAACAAUGACGUCUACAAGGCAGUGUGUGUUGGCAAGGAGGCGAGGAAGAAGUGGACUGGCAUGGAAGACGAAAAGAAACAUUACUGAGGUGGAUGAAAAGCAAGACAAACAGGAAGAAAGUCGUGAAGGAAGCAAGAAGAGAUUGUGGGAAAAAAAAAAAAAAAUUGAGGCAUUGUCAGGAAAGAGGAAGAGGAUCAAGCAAGUGUUAUGAGGAGAGACAGAGAGAGAUGAAGCAUGAGAAACCACCACCACCCUGCCCAAAGAACCCCAAAAAACCACCACCAGCAGCUCACCACCACCAUCAGAUCACCACACCUCAAACACACGCACGCCUGUCUGUCUCCUUCACCAUAAGCAAGUAUCACGUCGUUACCUCCUGCUUUAUCUUGACUUCCCCAACACCUCCCC
Molecule: long non-coding RNA, 1870 nt
Organism: Portunus trituberculatus (swimming crab)
Lineage: Eukaryota; Metazoa; Arthropoda; Malacostraca; Decapoda; Portunidae
Exons: 3
Source: RefSeq, a predicted model, not a curated record